Long non-coding RNA from Olea europaea var. sylvestris, 318 nucleotides. RefSeq lists it as uncharacterized. The transcript has 4 exons. The record is from RefSeq and is a predicted model, not a curated record. Lineage: Eukaryota; Viridiplantae; Streptophyta; Magnoliopsida; Lamiales; Oleaceae.
UAUUGCUAAAUAUUAUCAGUAACAUUAAUUUUCCAGGAGCCUUCCUAACCACAAGUUGAGUGGCCCCAUUUCACCUGAUAUUGGGAAGCUAGAUAGUCUGCAAUUUUUAGCUCUUCAUGGCAACAACUUAUAUGGGGAAAUCCCUCCAGAACUGGGGAACUGUACACAAUUGCAAUCAAUAUUUUUGCAGGGUAACUACUUAAGUGGAUUGAUUCCCAAUGAAUUGGGAAAUCUAUCUCAGCUUGAGAAUUUGGACCUCUCAAGCAACUCUCUCAGUGGAAGCAUUCCUGCUUCACUUGGAAAAUUAAGCAAGCUUUC